GGGCUGACACGUGACCGCGACGCCACGUGACUCGGGUCUCGCCUCCGACCCCCGCCCGGUCUCCGGCCGGCGGAAGCGGAAGGCGGGCGGUGGGUGCGGCUGGUCACCUCCUGGAGGGGCCUCUGGGUCCCGCCUGGGGCUGCCGGAUGAAAAGAGGGGUUGGGACCGGACGUGCGGCUCUCCACCGCGGGCCGAGGGUGGGAGUCCCACGGCGGCCGCCCCACGGGAGACGAGAGGGCGUUUCCGCAGGGACGCUGAUGCUAACGCGUCUGUCGGCCUCGGGGCCCGUGGAGAAUCCGGGCUGGGGGGUAGGAAGGAGGGGGAUGUGAACACGCGUACUGAGUGUUACCCCUCGUGCUGGAAAAACACACAAGGCACAGGAUGUUAAUCUGGACACACUCUUGACUGAAGGGGCUUCAGAGGGUUCGGUGGCUCCCGGCUGUCACCUCGUCCUGGAGGCCGUGGGGGAGUAGCGGCCUUUCCCGGAAGGUUCAGAAGGGCCCCAAGCUGCCCAGGGAAGGAAAUCGCAGCCUCGCUGCUUCCAGAACCUUCCUGAAGUGCCUCUCACUCACUCCCCAGUUCCUGAUUUGCUUCUAGGCUCUGCCCGACUGCUGCCCGCGCUCUGGCCACACGGGCCCUUUGCAGAGAGAGGUGACGCCCUCCUGCCCUGCUGCUUCGUUGAGCACUUCCAACCCCACCCCCUGGGGAAACGUGCCUCCAGUUCACCUUCAGUGCAGUUUCCCUUCCCCGCCACCUUCUAAUACCAUCAGCUGAACAAGUCGUGACACUGAAGGAUUUCAAGUAAGAGGAAAGCAAAGAGGCCGAGGGAGCCCCAGGCUCGUUGGGUUUUGUCGACUGAAAGUUGAGAGCUGUGUUUUUUUCAGGGAUCGUUCUUAGGACUUCAAGCCGGGUCAUCUCAACCCCGAGAAUCCGAGGGGGGAGCCAGGAUAUAUAGGAGUUUUUGCAACAAAGGGCAGGUAGUCGGAAUGUCAAAAGAUUAUCGUUAAUUAAGGAAAACCAGGUAUCUCAAGUUAAGGAAUUUAGCGCUUUUCUAUGUAAGGAGAGAUGCAAGAGUCUGGGCUCACUGAAAUCAUUCCUUUGAUCUGCACCUCAGCUCUCUGGGGCCAGUGUCCUGUGCUCUCUCAUCCUGAGUCCCCUCAGGGCUCACCGUCUGGGGUAGUUGCAGUGUGAUGACUCCGUGAUGGCAGGCAUUCCUUGUUUCCUUCGUGAGUCUUCUCAGGCUGCAGGGUGGGGAGUGGCUGCAGUUACUGAUGACUGAUGGCUGCAGUGUCCUUCCUUACUGACAUGGCAGGCAGCAUUCUUAGUCCACAGGUUGUUCAGCUCUUUGGGGCAGAAAUCUACUGUUACUACAGAGUUGAUUUGCUGAUGUCUUGUUUAGGUGUUUAGGGAUCUUUCUGGAUUUUUUGUUUGUUGCUGUUCCAAAUGGGGAAGAGUCUCAGCGGGAUCCCAUUUGAGAGAAGUGCUGUCUGUUGAAGUGUGCCGUGGGAAAGAGGAGGUGUUGGAUCUGCGGUCUCUAUGCUUUCACUGUGAGGUCCCUUAUCAGCAGCAGGUUGUUAACAUGAUGUUUGUACAGUAGGUUAUUAUCUGAGCCUGAGCUGUCCCUAUGAAGUAGAGUGUUCAGUUCAGAUGUAACUGGAAAAUUCUAAAAUAUUUCCCUUUUCUCUUGAACUUUCUGAUGGUGAGAAACUACCAAAAAAUCUUGAGUAUGGAAACAAAAGACCUAUUAAUUUUGUGCUUCUCAGCCUUGGAAGCCCCUUCCUCUGUUGAGAGAACGCCUUACCCUCUGAAUAUGGUUGGCAGACAGAGCACCCAGCAGAAGUUGAAAAAACCAGAUGGUCACUUUCCCAGCCUUCCUAGCGGCUAAGGUGCGAGCUCAGCCCAAGUUCAGCCCAUUAGACUGGAUCAGGAGCUAGUGGUUGCCCCUGAACGUGGUGUUUGCUGGUGACGGCAGCUGUAGCCGCAGCAAAGUGGCAUUUCUCCCGGCGGUGGCGAAGGGUCUUCACCGGGUUGUUUGUAGUGCCUUCAGCCGUGGCCCUUGCUGCCCCCUCGCGCCUGCUAUUUCCCUAGCGUCAUUCUGCAUUCCUUUUGGAAAUUCUGUGAGCUACUCAGAGGCCUUUCAACAGGGGAUUUUUCUGCUUAGACCCAUCAGAGCACAUUUCUACUGUGUCCAACUGCCCAAUACACGCUGUGUUUGAAAUCUUCUCUUUUUAAAGACCAAAAAGGAGUUUGUGUGAGCAAAAGAACAGGGUGUAAAAAAAACAGCAGAAAAAUGAAAGGUUUAGCAAAAAUUCUAUGAAGUUACAUUUUAAUAGAGUAUGGAAAAGUAAUAUGGUGGGAUUUUCUUGUUUGGUCUUCUUUUUGUUUGAAUUCUUAGUGAAGGCUGGGUCUGAGCUGGUUUUUUUUUCUUCUUGGCCGCGCCACGCGGCUUGUGGGAUCUUAGUUCCCUGACCAGGGAUCAAACCCGUGCCCCCUGCAAUGGAAGCACAGAGUCCUAACCAGUGGACCGCCAGGGAAGUCCUGGAUCUGAACUAUUCUGAUUGAAGGAAAGAUGGGGAAAACCAAGCACAGUGAAGGACUCCACACCUUCUGAAUUCUUUUGGAGACUUUUUUAAAGCCUUUUAAAAACAAAGCAGUGAGGGCAGUGAGUGGAGAGGCCUCUGCGGAGCUGAGCAGGGACUGGGGACCCUGCUUUGGUAAUAAUGAGCGGGCGAGUUCACAGGUGAAAGGUGGGGCCUUUUACCUGUGAAAUGACCUCGUGCCGCUGGGAGGGUGUGGGCUCAGUAGCUAAGGAGAUAAGUGAUGGCUGAUGGAAGGUGAAAUCUAGCGGAACGGACUAGCAGGCAGUCUGUGCUUUUUUUCCUCUUUUGCUCUAAGUUACGCUUUUUCUUGAGACUUGGUAAGCAAAACUAGUAAUGUCGCAUAGUGCUGUCGUUUUUAAAGCUUGUUUUAUGAAAUUUCUAAAAGGGAAAUUUUGAAUAAAAUUAGGAUAAUCCAGUGAGUGCUGUUGUACCGUUACUUUUACCAUUUUCCCUCCCUCCUCACUUGUUUUGUGUUUUGGUUGGUUUGGGGGCUUGAGUGUUAUAAAACAAACCUCAGACAUUAUAUUUUUCAUGUAAAUCUUUUACAUAAACAGAAUGCCACUAUUGUAGCUAAUAUAAAAACAAAACCUAAGAAUUCCUUAGUAACUAAUUUCCAGUUUAUGUUCACACGUCUCCAGUUGUCCAGAAAACAUCUUUUUACAGCCAGUGUGCUCCCUGUGGCUCCGGCGAGGUCUGCACGCUGCCCUUGAUGGCGUGUCUCAAGUCCCUGUGUUGGGGAAGGGGAAACGAGGCUACUUGUCCUGUAGGACACCCACACUUUGGGUUGACCUGGUGAGUCCUUGAACGGCCAUGUCUUCCUCUGCUCCGGUAACCUGGUGGUCUGAUUGAGGCUUGACUGAAUCAGGCUUAUCUCCCCCAGGUACCACGCUCCACACGUGGUGCUGGAGCCUCCCCACGCAGUGUGGAGUGCGGGUCUGCAACAUUGGCUGCGUCUGGGGCUGGUUAGCAGUGCAGAGCCUCGGGCCCCUCCGUGGACCCACGGAAUCAGAACCUGCGUUUCAGCCAGGGCCUCGGGCCACUAGUGUGCAUGGAGACCGAGAAGCACUCUGCCCUUUUCUUCAGGCUGUGGGGCCGCAUUGGGGUGGCCCCAGUGGCCCCAUCCACUGCAGAGUCCCUGUCAGCCUUUGGCCUCUGGCCCCGCGGCUUCGCAUACAUCCCUGGCGGUCCGUAGGUCCGCACUCCGGCGGGCUUGGCGAUAUCUCUGCUUUGCUUUUUCGGCCACGCCACGCAGCACGCAGGAUCUUAGUUCCCCGACCAGGGGUCGAACCCAGGCCCCUACAGUGGAAGCGCAGAGUCCUAACCGCUGGACCACCAGGGAAGUCCCUGGCAAUUUCUAAUUCUAUCUUUCCUAUUGUGCUGUCAGCUGGAGCAGACCUGUAAGGAAGAAUUUUCCAUCGUGGACCAGUUGGUUACUCCAGAGUACCGUCCCUACAGGAAAGCUGGGAUCCGUGCCUGAUUCGAGAUGCUUUUGUCUGGCUUCAGAGUAAGAACUCAGUGCCGAAGCAGCUUCCAGAAGUGAACUGCCGCACCCGCGUGAGCCGUGCGCUCUGGGGGGUGAUGACCUGUCGGUGCGGGUUCCUCAGCGGUGACCGGCGCCCCACCUGGAACGUGCACCCCGAAGACUGGACUUCAUGUUAAUUUUAAAGCUACCAAGCAGGAUGUGGGGGUGCAGUCCGUGACAAAGGUGACUGUCCUGGUGGUCCUGUGGCCACACCCCAACCCCAGGAACUCCGUGUGUGGACCGGAGAUCUGUGUGGACACUGUCCUCUGGCUGGUCAGCUCAUUCUCCCUGGGGUAGGUUAGCGGUUCUGAAGCUGUACGUUUACCGGUGUUGAACAAAUAAGGAGAUAUUUUGCAGAUAAUGAGAACUGGCAGGCUCCUUGCUGUGGGAGCGAGAAGCCGCGGGGGGAAGAGGGGACCCUGUGAGCUGGAGCUCAUAUGUGUGUUUAGAACACAGAUCGACGGAGAGUCACGGAAAUCCACAGAGCCGGGCGUUUGCGCGCGUCAGACUGUCUCCUGAGUGCCCGCUGAGGGCCGAGACGCACAGCCCUGCAGGUGAGGGUCCUGAGGACGCUCCCUGGGAAAGGAGCCAGGCGGUGCCCACCCGGGGCCUCGGGGACGCAGGUGCCAACCUGAGCUGCCAGCAGCCCCGGGCGCUGGAUGAGGAGGUGAUGCUGACAGCAUUGGGGCGGAAUCCAAAGGGUGGGGUAAAUGUCGCUGAGAAGUGAGGGAACACAGGGCAUGUCCUCCUCACAGAGCCUCCAGCACGGAGGGCCGUGGGCAGUGACCGCUGCGACCGCUGCCGGCGCCCCGGGGGACCGGUGCUCGAAGCUCAAGGGCAGACGGCGUCCGUAUGGUCUCAGAGACGUCUCCAAAUAGCUCGCUCUUAACUA
This is a long non-coding RNA of Aethalodelphis obliquidens (Pacific white-sided dolphin), 5014 nucleotides long. RefSeq lists it as uncharacterized. The transcript has 3 exons. The record is from RefSeq and is a predicted model, not a curated record. Lineage: Eukaryota; Metazoa; Chordata; Mammalia; Artiodactyla; Delphinidae.